This 214-nucleotide ribosomal RNA is filed under the name Klebsiella pneumoniae. RNAcentral describes it as "partial 23S ribosomal RNA". It matches the Rfam family "Bacterial large subunit ribosomal RNA", at positions 2729 to 2925 of the family's 2925-position model. The record is from RNAcentral. Lineage: Bacteria; Pseudomonadati; Pseudomonadota; Gammaproteobacteria; Enterobacterales; Enterobacteriaceae.
CCAAUGGCACUGCCCGGUAGCUAAAUGCGGAAGAGAUAAGUGCUGAAAGCAUCUAAGCACGAAACUUGCCCCGAGAUGAGUUCUCCCUGAGACUUUAAGUCUCCUGAAGGAACGUUAAAGACGAUGACGUUGAUAGGCCGGGUGUGUAAGCGCAGCGAUGCGUUGAGCUAACCGGUACUAAUGAACCGUGAGGCUUAACCUUACAACGCCGAAG